Molecule: unclassified non-coding RNA, 386 nt
Filed under: fungal sp.
Lineage: Eukaryota; Fungi
Description: partial internal transcribed spacer region
Rfam family: Eukaryotic small subunit ribosomal RNA (bases 1-46)
Source: RNAcentral
AAGUCGUAACAAGGUUUCCGUAGGUGAACCUGCGGAAGGAUCAUUAACACGUAUCCAACGUAUCAACCAACCGUGAACUCGUUUUCAACUUCUCCCGGCGCUAGGAAUGAAUGGCAACUCGCCCACACACGUCCAGCGGGAUCUGUAAAAAGGUCUGUGUGGGUCAGUAUACUGAAGUGCGCAAGUGCUUCGACAUUGCAUCCAUAGCGAGCGGCUAUUUUGCUCCUCCCGGCCUCCGCCUGCGGCCUUCGGAUGGUGGCAUACCUAUGACUAUAAUCACACAUUUUUGCUAGUUGACUUUUUAUUGUUGCUUUCGCUUCGGCGUGGGUGACACGUUUAAUGAACGUUAAAAAAUACAACUCUUAGCAAUGGAUAUCUCGGUUCUC